RNAcentral lists this ribosomal RNA (268 nucleotides) under uncultured bacterium. Its description in RNAcentral is "partial 16S ribosomal RNA". It matches the Rfam family "Bacterial small subunit ribosomal RNA", at positions 1234 to 1500 of the family's 1533-position model. The record is from RNAcentral.
CGGUAAACAGAGGGAAGCGAGCCUGCGAGGGGGAGCGAAUCCCAAAAAUAACGUCCCAGUUCGGAUUGUAGUCUGCAACCCGACUACAUGAAGCUGGAAUCGCUAGUAAUCGCGGAUCAGAAUGCCGCGGUGAAUACGUUCCCGGGUCUUGUACACACCGCCCGUCACACCAUGGGAGUCGGAAAUGCCCGAAGUCUGUGACCCAACCUUAGGGAGGGAGCAGCCGAAGGCAGGUCGGAUGACUGGGGUGAAGUCGUAACAAGGUACC